CUACGGCAUUCCAUAAAAUGCAAGUCGAGCGCAGGAAAUCGACGGAACCCUUCGGGGGGAAUCGAUGGAAUGACUUGCGGACGGGUGAGUAACACGUAAAAAACCUGCCCUCAGGUCUGGAAUAACCACGACAAUCGGGGCUAAUACCGGAUGGGUCAUCGGACCACAUGGUCCGAAGAAGAAAGGCGCUUCCACGUCCCCUGGGGAUGGCUUUGAGAUG
RNAcentral lists this ribosomal RNA (220 nucleotides) under Exiguobacterium sp. SD2-15(1). RNAcentral's name for it is "partial 16S ribosomal RNA". The stretch from base 79 to 220 matches the Rfam family "Bacterial small subunit ribosomal RNA", at positions 100 to 238 of the family's 1533-position model. The record is from RNAcentral. Lineage: Bacteria; Bacillati; Bacillota; Bacilli; Caryophanales.